UUGCCACCGGCGGCAAAAAAGGGGACACACGCAGCACUGAGGAGGAACUGAGAAUGAAAGACCGCGUUCAAACAAAGUGGCCGCGAGUUUCUGCUGGGAAAGCAUCAAGAUCUGCUACAAACUGUGCAGGAUUGCCUUCAUCUCCAAUAUGCGGGUUGCAGCCGGUGAUUGGCAGGAGGAGGAGAGUCUGACGGAGGAGCAGAGGAAUGUUGGCAGCUAUUUAGUCUGAGCUCAACAACGGAGGAAACAUGGAUUCUUCACAAAAAAAAUGUAAACACAGCAAUGGAGUGAGAUGUGGGACCUCUGAGGAGGAUAAGGAUGGUUCAGCAACAACAGCAAAAAGAGAUGAAUCACUCAGUUGUGAGCAAUGUGGCAAGACUUUUAUCACAGCAACAAAGCUCAGAAUUCACAAACGUAUUCACACUGUGGAGAAACCAUUCAGCUGUGAUCAGUGUGGAAAAGCUUUUACUUGAAGUGUAAUCUAGCAACACAUCAACUCAUUCACAGUGGAGGUAAACCAUUCAGCUGUGAUCAGUGUGGAAAGGCUUUUACUCAGAAGUGGAGCUUAAAAAGACAUCAACUCAUUCACAGUGGAGUUAAAACAUUCAGCUGUGAUCAGUGUGGAAAGGCUUUUAAUCAGAAGAGUCAUCUGGCAAAUCAUCAACUCAUUCACAGUGGAGUGAAAUUGUUCAGCUGUGAUCAGUGU
Molecule: long non-coding RNA, 706 nt
Organism: Acanthochromis polyacanthus (spiny chromis)
Lineage: Eukaryota; Metazoa; Chordata; Actinopteri; Pomacentridae
Exons: 3
Source: RefSeq, a predicted model, not a curated record